UUACGGCCACAUCACGUAGAAACACCGGUUUCCGUACGAUCACUGAAGUUAAGCAACGUCGAACCUAGUUUGUACCUAGAUGGGUGACAGCUUGGAAAUACUAAGUGCUGUA
Molecule: non-coding RNA, 112 nt
Organism: Acanthosepion pharaonis
Lineage: Eukaryota; Metazoa; Mollusca; Cephalopoda; Sepiida; Sepiidae
Source: the annotation of a GenBank genome assembly